UUUUAGAAAAACUUAGUAAUGUUUAUUUGGAUAAACUUUACCUUUUGCAUCAUGAUUAUCAGAUAUUUUUCAUUAUUGAUAGAUCUGAAACUGUGUGAUUUUCAUCUUUUUAGUUUGGAACAGCUAUUCUAUGUGUAAUAGUUUAUUGAAAAAAUGGUGAGGAUGUGAGAAGUAAGUCAUACUCAGUUAUAUCCGAUUAAGGGGUUUUUAUUUUAGUUACGCUUUUAGUUAUAAGAUUGAGAGCGUUUUAGUAUUUUUAUUUCACUUUUGUUUAGUUAGGAUGAGAAGUUUCUUUAGUUAAUUUUAUGUGUUAUAACAUUUUUAUUUUGGUUUUAUAUCUAUUUUAGUUCCUCUUGUUUAUUAAUAAGCUUUAAUUUUAUUAUUGGUUAAUAAGUAAGAUUAAUUGUUUUCUUUUUUCUUGAUUUUAUUCUGACUGUUUAUCAAAAACAUUUCUUCUUUUAUUUAAGAGGUAGUCCCUGCUCAAUGAUAAGUUAAAUAGCCGCAUUAGCCUGAGUGUGUUAAGGUAGCAUAAUUGCUAGCCCUUUAAUUGGGGGAUUGUUUGAAAGGGUUAACAAGAGUAUGUUGUUAGAAGAGAGCAUUUACUGAAAUUAAUAUAUUAGUAAAGAAUCUAAUGUUAUUUUUUGGGACGGGAAGACCCUAGGAGGUUUAUAUUAUUUUUAUUUGGUUGGGACAAUUAUAAAUAUUUUAUUUUUGUUGAGAUCCUUUUUUAAGAAUUCGUUUAAAGUUACCCUAGGGAUAACAGGGUAAGAAGUGAGAAGAGUUCAAAUCGUUUCAUUUAAUUGCUACCUCGAUGUUGACUUAAGAGAAAGUUUUAUGCUGUAGAGGGUUUAAAAACAGGUCUGUUCGUCCUUUAAAUUCUUUCAUGAGUUGAGUUAAGACCGAUGUAAAUCAGGUUGGUUCCUAUCUAAAGUUGAUAUAAUUUAGUACGAAAGGAUUGAUUAUUUUUUAUGUUA
This 974-nucleotide ribosomal RNA is filed under the name Eudiplozoon sp. DZ-2018. RNAcentral describes it as "16S ribosomal RNA". The stretch from base 641 to 930 matches the Rfam family "Archaeal large subunit ribosomal RNA", at positions 2151 to 2715 of the family's 2987-position model. The record is from RNAcentral. Lineage: Eukaryota; Metazoa; Platyhelminthes; Monogenea; Mazocraeidea; Diplozoidae.